Molecule: ribosomal RNA, 490 nt
Filed under: uncultured bacterium
Lineage: Bacteria
Description: partial 16S ribosomal RNA
Rfam family: Bacterial small subunit ribosomal RNA
Source: RNAcentral
AUUGAACGCUGGCGGCAGGCCUAACACAUGCAAGUCGAACGGUAACAGGAAGCAGCUUGCUGCUUUGCUGACGAGUGGCGGACGGGUGAGUAAUGUCUGGGAAACUGCCCGAUGGAGGGGGAUAACUACUGGAAACGGUAGCUAAUACCGCAUAACGUCGCAAGCCCAAAGAGGGGGACCUUAGGGCCUCUUGCCAUCGGAUGUGCCCAGAUGGGAUUAGCUAGUAGGUGGGGUAACGGCUCACCUAGGCGACGAUCCCUAGCUGGUCUGAGAGGAUGACCAGCCACACUGGAACUGAGACACGGUCCAGACGCCUAAGGGAGGCAGCAGUGGGGAAUAUUGCACAAAGGGCGCAAGCCUGAUGCAGCCAUGCCGCGUGUAUGAAGAAGGCCUUCGGGUUGUAAAGUACUUUCAGCGGGGAGGAAGGGAGUAAAGUUAAUACCUUUGCUCAUUGACGUUACCCGCAGAAGAAGCACCGGCUAACUCCGUG